UUGAACGCUGGCGGCAGGCCUAACACAUGCAAGUCGAACGGUAACAGGAAGCAGCUUGCUGCUUUGCUGGCGCGUGGCGGACGGGUGAGUAAUGUCUGGGAAACUGCCUGAUGGAGGGGGAUAACUACUGGAAACGGUAGCUAAUACCGCAUAACGUCGCAAGACCAAAGAGGGGGACCUUCGGGCCUCUUGCCAUCGGAUGUGCCCAGAUGGGAUUAGCUAGUAGGUGGGGUAACGGCUCACCUAGGCGACGAUCCCUAGCUGGUCUGAGAGGAUGACCAGCCACACUGGAACUGAGACACGGUCCAGACUCCUACGGGAGGCAGCAGUGGGGAAUAUUGCACAAUGGGCGCAAGCCUGAUGCAGCCAUGCCGCGUGUAUGAAGAAGGCCUUCGGGUUGUAAAGUACUUUCAGCGGGGAGGAAGGGAGUAAAGUUAAUACCUUUGCUCAUUGACGUUACCCGCAGAAGAAGCACCGGCUAACUCCGUG
RNAcentral lists this ribosomal RNA (489 nucleotides) under uncultured bacterium. Its description in RNAcentral is "partial 16S ribosomal RNA". It matches the Rfam family "Bacterial small subunit ribosomal RNA", at positions 30 to 507 of the family's 1533-position model. The record is from RNAcentral.